RNAcentral lists this ribosomal RNA (373 nucleotides) under uncultured organism. Its description in RNAcentral is "partial 16S ribosomal RNA". It matches the Rfam family "Bacterial small subunit ribosomal RNA", at positions 527 to 896 of the family's 1533-position model. The record is from RNAcentral.
GUAGGUGGCAAGCGUUGUCCGGAAUUAUUGGGCGUAAAGCGCGCGCGGGCGGUCCUUUAAGUCUGAUGUGAAAGCCCACGGCUCAACCGUGGAGGGUCAUUGGAAACUGGGGGACUUGAGUACAGAAGAGGAAAGCGGAAUUCCACGUGUAGCGGUGAAAUGCGUAGAGAUGUGGAGGAACACCAGUGGCGAAGGCGGCUUUCUGGUCUGUAACUGACGCUGAGGCGCGAAAGCGUGGGGAGCAAACAGGAUUAGAUACCCUGGUAGUCCACGCCGUAAACGAUGAGUGCUAAGUGUUAGGGGGUUUCCCGCCCCCUUAGUGCUGCAGCUAACGCAUUAAGCACUCCGCCUGGGGAGUACGGCCGCAAGGCUG